Molecule: ribosomal RNA, 301 nt
Filed under: uncultured bacterium
Lineage: Bacteria
Description: partial 16S ribosomal RNA
Rfam family: Bacterial small subunit ribosomal RNA
Source: RNAcentral
CAGUAGCCGCGGUAACACAGAGGGUGCAAGCGUUAAUCGGAAUUACUGGGCGUAAAGCGCGCGUAGGUGGUUUGUUAAGUUGGAUGUGAAAGCCCCGGGCUCAACCUGGGAACUGCAUCCAAAACUGGCAAGCUAGAGUACGGUAGAGGGUGGUGGAAUUUCCUGUGUAGCGGUGAAAUGCGUAGAUAUAGGAAGGAACACCAGUGGCGAAGGCGACCACCUGGACUGAUACUGACACUGAGGUGCGAAAGCGUGGGGAGCAAACAGGAUUAGAUACCCCUGUAGUCCCUGUCUCUUAUAC